ACGAGUUUGAUCAUGGCUCAGAUUGAACGCUGGCGGCAUGCCUUACACAUGCAAGUCGAACGGUAACGCGGGGCAACCUGGCGACGAGUGGCGAACGGGUGAGUAAUAUAUCGGAACGUGCCCAGUAGUGGGGGAUAGCCCGGCGAAAGCCGGAUUAAUACCGCAUGAGACCUGAGGGUGAAAGCGGGGGAUCGCAAGACCUCGCGCUAUUGGAGCGGCCGAUAUCAGAUUAGGUAGUUGGUGGGGUAAAGGCCUACCAAGCCGACGAUCUGUAGCUGGUCUGAGAGGACGACCAGCCACACUGGGACUGAGACACGGCCCAGACUCCUACGGGAGGCAGCAGUGGGGAAUUUUGGACAAUGGGCGCAAGCCUGAUCCAGCCAUGCCGCGUGCGGGAAGAAGGCCUUCGGGUUGUAAACCGCUUUUGUCAGGGAAGAAAUCUUCUGGGCUAAUACCUCGGGAGGAUGACGGUACCUGAAGAAUAAGCACCGGCUAACUACGUG
RNAcentral lists this ribosomal RNA (503 nucleotides) under uncultured bacterium. RNAcentral describes it as "bacterial SSU rRNA". It matches the Rfam family "Bacterial small subunit ribosomal RNA", at positions 1 to 507 of the family's 1533-position model. The record is from RNAcentral.